GGACUUGCAACCAAGUGAUGAGAGCCCAGAGUAACUAGGCUACCUACCAGACAACAGAUACUAUGCUGAUGAAGAUCAUUUGAAGUACCUAGACAGACAGAUAAAUCUGCUGAUGAAGACUUUGCACUCUUAGGAGGCAAUAAAGUGAAUCUCAGAUUGGUAUAAACAAAAUAUCACAACUAUACUAUUCCAUCAGCUUCCAAAUCCAAACCUCUGUCUUUCCAAGCAGCUACUGACAGCCAUACUCCUAUUGCCUCUCACUGUCUCUUUCUGAUGACUUCCAGCAUUCCACAACUUCAACUAAAGGCUCAUCUACACAAGCGUCUUAUUUUGGACUAACGGCCAUUUUUUCAAUUAAAGUGGGCUGUGUUCACAUAACACAAUUCUUCUUCCUAAUUAACUGGCUAGUUAGUGCAAAUUGGAAAAACCACUUCUGUUUUUUUGGAUUUUAUUGGUUUUUUUGAAUGCGUUUGUGUGGGAAAAGGUUGUAUGCAUGCAUCUAUAUUUUGAGUUAACUUUUCAAUUCUCCCACUGGUAUGUCACACUGCAGUGCUUCACACCAGAAUUGACCCGUCUGUUUACCCAUGCACUCUCUACUGCUUGGGGGUCACGAUGGCCAGAUGUUACCUCCCCAUUUAAAUGCUGGUGUGCAGCCAGAAGCAUCCCAUCUGCAAUUACACACUCCUGGAGCAUUAUAACAAUUAUGCCUUGUGCAUCCACACAGUGCCAUGAACAGGUCAUGGAUUUCCUUGUGCUCUGGUGAGAAGGGACAGUGGAGUCCUCCUUCAACAGCAGCCACCAUAAUAUGAAAAUCUAUAAACAUUUAACUAAGCAAAUGGCUGAGAGGGGUCAGUCCUGGGACAAGGCUCAAUGCCACAGCAAAGGCACAGCGCUCCAGCAGAACUAUAAAAAAGCCAAGGACAGAAACGGGACCUCUGGGAGUGCUCCAAGCUCCUGACUAUACUAUGAGGAGCUGAGUGGGAUUUAUGAAGAAGGCCAUCACUGAAUCCCAGUAUAUUCUGGAUCUGGACAAUGCUGAAGGCACCAAGGACAACCUCAACCAGGAUACUGGUGUGGAGAAGAUAUCCUGUGAAAAUCAGGAUCUCUUCGCCGUGCAAGAGCAUGAGUCAGACCCUGAAGAACAGGCAGCUCCUGAAACCCAUGUCUAAACUCAGCAUGAUAGUUCCAUGGAGGGAACCUCUGCCAAUAACUUCCCCAGCUUCUGCACCUGACACCCGGCGGCCUUGAAGGACAGAACCAUAAUCAACAGUGGAACGCCUGACUACAUUCUCUCUGGGGCAGGAAAAGGAAGACCAAAGGCGAAAUGUUUGGGGACCUCAUGAUAACAUCUCAGAAGAGAGAUCAGACAACAGAGGAGUGGAGGGAAGUUCUCCUUGCAGAGACACAGAAGGACAGAGAACGUUCAAAGAGGGACAGGAUGAUGAAGACACCCCUCCUGGAGCUCACACAAAUACCAACUGUCUUGAUGCAGAACGUAUUGAUGCACUGUUCUGCCACUGCGCAACCACCUCCACCCCAGCUCAGUCCUCUCCUGCAGCCUCGAGAGAACAAUGCAUACUAAGAGCAGCAGCACCCUUCCCAAAGCUCAAACCAUAGACAUCUCCUUUCCCACCUGACACCACAGGAUUCUGAAAAAAAGUGACUACCGGGAACCUCUUUCACCCCCAUCACAAACAAUGAUUUCUUCCUGUGCCAUUGCACAUGCCAAGGCAAAAGCACUAGGAAAAAAUCCCACAUAUGCCUGUGACCAGUGCAGCACCAACAUGUGUGGACAUAGUACUUUUUUGUCAUGUGGUGCAGCUUUGCAUUGUAAUGUUGUAGAAGGUAUGCAGUGUUUUGCAUAAUUUUGCAUAGUUUGCAUUGUUUUAUGUUGGGGUUUGUGU
Long non-coding RNA from Mauremys reevesii (Reeves's turtle), 1904 nucleotides. RefSeq lists it as uncharacterized. The transcript is spliced from 3 exons. The record is from RefSeq and is a predicted model, not a curated record. NCBI's taxonomy places the organism in Eukaryota, Metazoa, Chordata, Testudines, Geoemydidae.